RNAcentral lists this ribosomal RNA (465 nucleotides) under uncultured bacterium. Its description in RNAcentral is "partial 16S ribosomal RNA". It matches the Rfam family "Bacterial small subunit ribosomal RNA", at positions 28 to 507 of the family's 1533-position model. The record is from RNAcentral.
GACGAACGCUGGCGGCGUGCUUAACACAUGCAAGUCGAACGGAAAGGCCCCCUUGUGGGGUACUCGAGUGGCGAACGGGUGAGUAACACGUGAGUAACCUACCCUUGACUUUGGGAUAACUUCAGGAAACUGGGGCUAAUACCGGAUAGGAGCUCCUGCUGCACGGUGGGGGUUGGAAAGUUUCGGCGGUUGGGGAUGGACUCGCGGCUUAUCAGCUUGUUGGUGGGGUAGUGGCUCACCAAGGCUUUGACGGGUAGCCGGCCUGAGAGGGUGACCGGCCACAUUGGGACUGAGAUACGGACCAGACUCCUACGGGAGGCAGCAGGGGGGAAUAUUGCACAAUGGGCGGAAGCCUGAUGCAGCAACGCCGCGUGCGGGAUGACGGCCUUCGGGUUGUAAACCGCUUUCGCCUGUGACGAAGCGUGAGUGACGGUAAUGAGUAAAGAAGCACCGGCUAACUACGUG